UACGGAGGGGGCUAGCGUUGUUCGGAAUUACUGGGCGUAAAGCGCGCGUAGGCGGCUUUGUAAGUUAGAGGUGAAAGCCCAGGGCUUAACCCUGGAAUUGCCUUUAAGACUGCAUCGCUAGAAUCGUGGAGAGGCGAAUGGAAGUACCUCGGUGGUAGAGCGGUGAAAUGCGCAGAUAUCAGGAGGAACACCGAUGGCGAAGGCAGCUCGCUGGGACGGUACUGACGCUGAGACGCGAAAGCGUGGGGAGCAAACAGG
This 258-nucleotide ribosomal RNA is filed under the name uncultured bacterium. RNAcentral describes it as "partial 16S ribosomal RNA". It matches the Rfam family "Bacterial small subunit ribosomal RNA", at positions 524 to 776 of the family's 1533-position model. The record is from RNAcentral.